This 325-nucleotide ribosomal RNA is filed under the name uncultured bacterium. RNAcentral's name for it is "bacterial SSU rRNA". It matches the Rfam family "Bacterial small subunit ribosomal RNA", at positions 18 to 344 of the family's 1533-position model. The record is from RNAcentral.
CAUGGCUCAGGAUGAACGCUGACAGAAUGCUUAACACAUGCAAGUCGAUGGGGAAGUGGUGCUUGCACCAUGGUAACCAUGGCGGACGGGUGAGUAACGCGUAAGGGACUUACCUGCAGGACCGGGAUAACAGGGGGAAACUCCUGACAAGACCGGAUAAUGUCAUGGAGCUGCAUGGCUUUAUGAUGAAAGGAGACGCCUGCGGAGAGCCUUGCGUCCUAUUAGCUAGUUGGUGAGGUAAGGGCUCACCAAGGCGAAGAUAGGUAGCCGGCCUGAGAGGGUGGACGGCCACAAGGCGAAUACAUUACAGCCCUUACUCAUACGG